Rhopalosiphum padi (bird cherry-oat aphid) is the source of this 765-nucleotide long non-coding RNA. RefSeq lists it as uncharacterized. The record is from RefSeq and is a predicted model, not a curated record. The transcript is spliced from 3 exons. Lineage: Eukaryota; Metazoa; Arthropoda; Insecta; Hemiptera; Aphididae.
UUUAUUUUAUUAUCGCUGAUACUAAUGAAUUAACAAACUGCGGUGCAAACAUGAAAUGUGUAAUAAAGAAAAAGGAGAGAUGAAAGAUCUUUAGAAUUUACCAGAUAGUUAAAAACAGCAAGGUCAUCUUGUUGCUAGUGGUAAUAUAUUUGUAUAUAUAAGUAAUGUAUAUGUUAUAUAUAUAUAUAUCGCAUAUGAGUAUGUUGAGAACCUAUAUAAGCAGUGGUAGUAAUUUCAUCGUAACUUCUUUCUUCACCAGACAUCAAACUGAAGAGAGGUAAGAGGUAGAGAGUUUUAUUUCUUCCAAAAAACGAAUAAUUGAUCACUGUCCGCCAUGUUAUACAAAACAAUAUUGCAGAUUUUGUGUUGUUUGUUACUUGCGAUGGUAUUUGUUGCAUCGGUACCAAUUGAUUCGGAUCCAACAGACACAAGAAAGAGAGAAGACAUUCCAUCCAUUGGUGAUCCAGAUAACUUGUUGAUGUUAAAACUGUUAAAAAUUAAACUUCUCAAAGCAGCACUUUUAGGUUAAAAAAUGUAUAAUGUUUUAAUUUAAACAUAGACUGAGAUAAUCUUUAGUUAUUUUAAUUUUAAUUUUUAAUAAUUCAUUAAAACAUUUUUUAUCAUCACAUCUAUAUUAUAUUAUUAUCAUGUUCUUUUAAUAUUUUAUUUUUGUAACUGAUUUUUUUUUCUGCACUUUUAUUUAAUAAUAAAUAAUAAUGAUUAAUGAAAUUGAAAUUACCUAUGAUUAAAUUCAUAUAAAAAUCA